GGAUCUAUCUGAAUGGCUAAGAAAAUAUAUAAACACAUACAUACUCACAUACAUAUAUGUAAUUUGAAACACUAUACAAUACCAGAUGUAAGUGUCAUAAUAGUACCAUUAUUUGUAGUUGUAAGUAUUAAGCUCCAACUCUGACUGUGGGAUGUCAGAAAAUUGUGACAUCCUAUGUGAGAAAAAGGGUGGCAAUUUUCCAUGAACUCUUUACCUUGCUCGUCCUUUACUUUUCAAAUUUACUUAGGAAGCCUGCAACCGUGAUGGCAAAACAUAAUGUUGCAGAUCCAACUUCUCCUGAAGCUCAGUGGCAUGAUCUCGGCUCACUGCAACCUCCGCCUCUCAGGCUCAAGAGAUUCUCGUGCCUCAGACUCCUGAGUAGCUGGGACUACAGGCGUGUGCCACCAAUGCCUGGCUAAUGUUUGUAUUUUUAGUACAGAUGGGGUUUCACCAUGUCGGCCAUGCUGGUCUCGAACUCCUGGCCUCAAGAGAUCCGCCUGCUUCGGCUUCCCAAAGUGCCUUGGAUUCCCAAGGUGCUGGGAUUACAGGUGUGAACCAUCAUGCCUGGCCUGUGCACAUCAUUUCAAUAACUGAUAUUUUGAAAACAUUAAGUUUAUCGACAUAAUUUAUAUACAAUAAAAUGUAUUAUUUACAAGUAUGUCUUUCAAUAAGUUUUGGCAAAUUUAUACAGUUAUGUAACCACCAUUUCUGGCAAACCGAAAAGCUGCCAUCUGUCCCUUUAUAGUCAUGUAAUGGACUUUUCUAAAAUGUCAUGUAAAUAGAAUCAUAUGUCUUAAAAAUUUUUGUUUCUAUUUUUGUAAAUUAAAAAAAUUCAUUUAGAAAAUUAUUAUGAGUUAUACAGUCUU
RNAcentral lists this long non-coding RNA (866 nucleotides) under Homo sapiens (human). Its description in RNAcentral is "HSALNT0051059". The record is from RNAcentral. Lineage: Eukaryota; Metazoa; Chordata; Mammalia; Primates; Hominidae.